Molecule: long non-coding RNA, 677 nt
Organism: Dermochelys coriacea (leatherback sea turtle)
Lineage: Eukaryota; Metazoa; Chordata; Testudines; Dermochelyidae
Exons: 4
Source: RefSeq, a predicted model, not a curated record
AGGGCUAAUGGACAAGCUGCAGAAGAGUGGAUGGAUGCAUUGCUGAUGAACAGCUCUGUUGGAGCAGGUGUUCGCUGCAAGACAUUUCAACUAGGAUUACCAGAUGUCAGGUUUUCGACUGAAACGUCUGGUUGAACAGGGAACCUGGCAGUGUCCGGGCAGCACAGCUGACCGGACACUAGAAGGCCAGUUGGCCUCAGUAAUUGGCCUCCGCCACGGGGCAGGGGGAAGUAGCAGCAAGCCACGUGGAGGAGCUGCUCUCUGCUCAGCUGCUGAUGCCUGACAGUGGCUGGCUUCUGGACUGGGCACCAAGAGGCCAAGAGCAUGGAAACAUUGGAUUGUCCAUUGUGUGGAUUGAAUGGCUACUUGGAGGGUCCUGGCUUUGAAAAGGCAGUUGUUGAGGGGUUUUGAUACUGAGAGAGCGUAAUGUCUCUCUCGAGUCCUUCAUGAAAUGAAGCACAUCGUUGGUGUUAUUGGCAAUUAGUUUUUCACCAUCAAAAGGGAGAUCUUCUAUGGUAUUCUGAAUCUCGCAAAGAAAAGAAGACGAUGAAAGCCAUGAAGCUCGACGCAUCACAACUGCUGUAGCAAUGGACCUCGCAGCUGUGUUAGCAACAUGUAGUGUAGUACAAGAGAUGAUUUGUCUGUCAGAGACUAUAGCUUUAAACUGAUGGGCUCCC